CGGCGAGCGAACUGGGAAGAGCUCAUGGCGAAAUCCGCCGUCGUUGCGACGGUCCGGAUAUUUCGCGUAUAGGAGAGACGCUUCCGAACGCCGACUCCGGUGUAAGUCCCCCUGACUGGGGCUCCUACCCCGAGAGGGUGCAAGGCCCGUAGCGGCCGGCGUCGGCUUCGGAUGUCCUCUCCGGGGAGUCGGGUUGCUUGAGAGUGCAGCCCCAAUCGGGUGGUAAACUCCAUCUAAGGCUAAAUACGACCCGGAGACCGAUAGCGAACAAGUACCGUGAGGGAAAGUUGAAAAGGACUUUGAAGAGAGAGUUCAAGAGUACGUGAAACCGUUCGAAGGUAAACGAGUGGGCCCUCGAAGCCGUAAGGCGGGGGGACUCAGCCGGGCGCCUCGGACCCGCCGCCGCACGCGCGCUUCCCCACCGGGACGCGCCGCGGCGGAACCGGUCCGGGUUCCCGGCGCAUUUCCUCCCGCCCUCGGACGCUGCGACCGGUCGCGCGUGCCACGAGCGGUCGGCCUUACUCGCGGGGACCGGCAGGUAGCGGGGACCGCGCUUCGGCGCCUUCCCCGUGUUUAGCCACCCCGCGAUCGAGAGCCGUUCGCGCGACCGAAGGACUCGGCCCUCA
This 626-nucleotide ribosomal RNA is filed under the name Calicina cloughensis. RNAcentral describes it as "partial 28S ribosomal RNA". It matches the Rfam family "Eukaryotic large subunit ribosomal RNA", at positions 87 to 634 of the family's 3401-position model. Lineage: Eukaryota; Metazoa; Arthropoda; Arachnida; Opiliones; Phalangodidae. The record is from RNAcentral.